GACAGAGGGUGCAAACGUUGUUCGGAAUUACUGGGCGUAAAGCGAGUGUAGGCGGUUUUCUAAGUCAGGUGUGAAAGCCCCGGGCUCAACCCGGGAAGUGCACUUGAAACUGGAAGGCUAGAGUAUCGGAGAGGUUGGUGGAAUUCUCGGUGUAGAGGUGAAAUUCGUAGAUAUCGAGAGGAACACCGGUGGCGAAGGCGGCUCACUGGCUCGUAACUGACGCUCAUGCACGACAGCGUGGGGAUCAAACAGG
RNAcentral lists this ribosomal RNA (253 nucleotides) under uncultured bacterium. Its description in RNAcentral is "partial 16S ribosomal RNA". It matches the Rfam family "Bacterial small subunit ribosomal RNA", at positions 524 to 776 of the family's 1533-position model. The record is from RNAcentral.